ACGGUAAUUAGUUGGAUUCAAAAACAAUCUUCAGUCAGUGUUGCAAACCUUCCUUAUUACAAAGAUAUCCUAGCUGUUGCCAACUUGUUUCCGUCCUGUACAUUUAAUCACAUUUAUCGGGAACAAAAUCAAGCCACUGACUGGUUGUCUAAAAGAGCUCCUAUAAUUGACUGCUCCUAUUCUUUAGGAGAUGUCUUAUCUCACUCCUUGGAUCAGAUUUGUUGGGAUAUACCGACUGAUAUACCGA
Molecule: long non-coding RNA, 247 nt
Filed under: Elaeis guineensis (African oil palm)
Lineage: Eukaryota; Viridiplantae; Streptophyta; Magnoliopsida; Arecales; Arecaceae
Description: long non-coding RNA (EGUI_LNC033119)
Source: RNAcentral